UUGUGGAGGAGGACGCCGAAGGUGGGGCUAAUGACUGGGGUGAAGUCGUAACAAGGUAGCCGUACCGGAAGGUGCGGCUGGAUCACCUCCUAACAGGGAGACAACAAAAUGUUAAAUAUUAAUUUUGUCACCUUAGGUCGAUCGGUAUCUCACAUUCUUAAUUUAUUUAAGGAUUUUAUUUCCUAAGUUUUUUCUAGGUCACACCCAUUAUUUUCCCUGGGCCAUUAGCUCAGGUGGUUAGAGCGCACCCCUGAUAAGGGUGAGGUCCCUGGUUCAAGUCCAGGAUGGCCCAUAUCUCUAUGUUGGGGGUAUAGCUCAGUUGGUAGAGCGCCUGCUUUGCAAGCAGGAUGUCAGCGGUUCGAGUCCGCUUACCUCCACUGAUCACCGCCUCUUCCAUAAUUUAUAGAAGGGAAAAUUUGAGUUGUGAUCAAAUUCUGAACGAAUCUAGCUUCCUAAUUUUUCUUUAAGAUGCUGGACUCAUUGAAUUAAUUUCAUUGUUUUCAGAGAACCUUGACAACUGCAUAGAUUAUUUUUAAAGACAAUAAGCAUCUUUAAUGAUGCAGAUUUAUUAUUUGUGCGAAUGCAUUAAUAACAAUUCUAUUAAGCUGAUGCUUCAAUUUUGAAGUUAUUGGUCAAGCUACAA
RNAcentral lists this unclassified non-coding RNA (643 nucleotides) under uncultured Prochlorococcus sp. Its description in RNAcentral is "partial 16S-23S ribosomal RNA intergenic spacer; may also contain 16S ribosomal RNA and 23S ribosomal RNA". The stretch from base 305 to 377 matches the Rfam family "tRNA". Lineage: Bacteria; Bacillati; Cyanobacteriota; Cyanophyceae; Synechococcales; Prochlorococcaceae. The record is from RNAcentral.